Molecule: long non-coding RNA, 1897 nt
Organism: Lemur catta (Ring-tailed lemur)
Lineage: Eukaryota; Metazoa; Chordata; Mammalia; Primates; Lemuridae
Exons: 2
Source: RefSeq, a predicted model, not a curated record
AAUAAAUUUCUGUUGUUUCAGGCACCCAGUCAAUGGUAUUUCACUAUGGCAGCCUGAGCUCAAUGGCAUACCAGUUGCUCAGGGGGAUAGUGAGAAUAGUUAGCCUUAGAUGCAGACAAUAAGGGGGUAAUCACUUGUAGAGAAUUCUAAAAAAUAGUGAAACCUACUACAAAUUGAUGUGCUUUUUAUUAUUCUUAUGAGCCAGCAAUUCUAAACUGUGUCAGUGACAAAAUACUCCUCUCCACUAAGGUGGACUGCUCUCAUUCUCCUGCGUAUGGCCACCACUGGAACCAUUGUAUGUGGAGUAUUUAAGGAAACAAAAGAUAAAGUUAUUAUACAAAGAUAAACAUGUAACAAGAUACUGGGAUGGACAAGUAAAUUUGAAAAAACAUAGUGUCUAAAAAUAAAAAAUAUAGUUAUUGAAUUAAAAGGCUCAGCUGACAGUUAAAUACCAGAUUAGAUGCAGUUGAAAAGAGAACUACAGUCCUGAAAGAUAAUCCAGGAAUGAAUAAAAAAAUGAAACAACAAAAAAAGGAUAAGAUGUGAAAAAUAAAAGAGAGAUUAGAGAACUGUAGGAUAGGAUGAAAAGGUCUAACGUAGGUCUAAAUGAAGUUCUAAAAGGAGAAUAACGAGAGAAGCAGGGGCAAUGAUUAAAAGAUAAUAGGUAUAAAUUUUCCAAAACUGAUAAGAAAUAUAGACCCAUAGAUCGAGGAAGCUCAACCUCACCCAAGCCUAGACUGGAUAAAUAAAAAUACAUUCACACCUAGAUUGCAGAGGCCAAAGACAAAGGGCCAAAGACAGAGAUUGUGAGAGAAAUUAGAGAGAAAGAACCGCUUACUUAUAAAGAAUGAAAGAAAAGUUCAGCAACAACAAUGGGAGCCAGAAUCACAAGGCAAAUAUCUUCAAAGUGUUGAGAGAAAAUAACUGUUAACCUGGAAUUUUCUACUUAGAGAAAGAAAUAUCUUUUAAAAAUGGGGCCAAAUACGGACAUUUACAUAUAAACAAAAUCCGAGAAACCUACUCUAAAAGAAGAUAUUUUAGGGGGAAAAACCCUUGAAGAUAGCUGGGAUGCAAGAAGGAAUGGUGAUCAAAUAAAAUGGCAAACAGCUUCAAAAGAGAAAAGGGAAAGCAAGAAAGGACACAGAGAACCUAAAGGAACUUUAUAAUAACUAGGACUCCCAAGCAGCACCUGGGGAGAGUGGUGGUGAAGUCGCUCUUCUCAGAGGCACAGGGAGAAUACGUCUUCCUGGAUGUUUCCGGGCCGUGCAUAUCGCCCAAGUGGGCAGCUCUCCAAGGUCCCUACGCGUGUGUGGAGACAAGCAAGCCCGAGACCUUGCCAGGGCGCCUUACCGUGUCUAGCUCCGAUUCCAAGCUGCAGUUUUCAAUGGAAGGGAACACCUCACUGUAUUUGCUUGGGUAGGUAGACGCUAGGUGGUCCUUCACCUCCUCCAGGUUGCUGGCUGUCAAAAAGCCAUCUUCAAGGUCAAAAGAAUUGGUCAGCAGCAGAAUCACCCUGCAGAGCAGACCAUCAGAUCAACCCUCACUGAUCAGAAAGCCUCCCGUCACCAAAGCCUCCCGCCAGCCUCUCCUUUCCUGAUUGCAUCUGGAAAGGGAAUCUGUUGCUUGGUGACCUUUUUAAAGGACAGGGUCAUUUUGAAUGGUUUUGAAGAUGUCUGAGAUACGAACAGUGACGACAACAAGAACCAAAUGCAGCUGGGCUGUUUUAACCUCUGCACCGGCAUAGUCCAACAGAACUUUCUGUGAUGAUGGAAAUGUUCAAUAUCUGGGCGGUCCCGUUUGGUACCCACUGGCCACAUGUGGCGACUAAGCUCUUGAAUGUGGCUAGUGUAACUGAAGAAAUGACUUGAAGUAAAAUGUAUAUUUAUUUAAAGAUAAA